Long non-coding RNA from Leptinotarsa decemlineata (Colorado potato beetle), 206 nucleotides. The record is from RefSeq and is a predicted model, not a curated record. Lineage: Eukaryota; Metazoa; Arthropoda; Insecta; Coleoptera; Chrysomelidae.
GUCAAAUAUAUCACAAAAAUAGUUUUUUUCAAAGCUAAACGUCUCAUGGCAUCAUUACUUUCAAAAUUAUGCCUGGAAGUAUUCUCAAUUCACAAACACAACAAUUUGUGUUGAACUUGUGCGAAUAUUUUGAAAGGGAGAGAGCGCUUGGAGAACCUUUGUUACCAUUUUCAUCUGUUCAAGAGAGAGUUGCAGAUGCACUUAAA